RNAcentral lists this ribosomal RNA (428 nucleotides) under uncultured archaeon. RNAcentral's name for it is "bacterial SSU rRNA". It matches the Rfam family "Archaeal small subunit ribosomal RNA", at positions 474 to 903 of the family's 1478-position model. The record is from RNAcentral.
UACCUGCAGCUCGAGUGGUGACCGCUAUUAUUGGGCCUAAAGCGUCCGUAGCCGGUUUGGUAAAUAUCUGGGUAAAUCGUGAGGCUUAACUUCACGAAUUUCGGAUAGACUGCCAGACUUGGGAUCGGGGGAGGUCAGAGGUACUCCAGGGGUAGCGGUGAAAUGUUGUAAUCCUUGGAGGACCACCGGUAGCGAAGGCGUCUGACUAGAACGAGUCCGACGGUGAGGGACGAAGCCCUGGGGCGCAAACCGGAUUAGAUACCCGGGUAGUCCAGGGUGUAAACAAUGUGGGCUUUGUAUUGGAGGUCCCACGUGGGCGUCCAGUGCAGAAGAGAAGUUGUUAAGCCCACCGCCUGGGAAGUACGGUCGCAAGGCUGAAACUUAAAGGAAUUGGCGGGGAGCACAGCAACGGGAGGAGCGUGCGGUUU